This 858-nucleotide ribosomal RNA is filed under the name uncultured bacterium. RNAcentral describes it as "bacterial SSU rRNA". It matches the Rfam family "Bacterial small subunit ribosomal RNA", at positions 1 to 828 of the family's 1533-position model. The record is from RNAcentral.
CGGAGAGUUUGAUCCUGGCUCAGGACGAACGCUGGCGGCGUGCCUAAUACAUGCAAGUCGAACGAACUCUGGUAUUGAUUGGUGCUUGCAUCAUGAUUUACAUUUGAGUGAGUGGCGAACUGGUGAGUAACACGUGGGAAACCUGCCCAGAAGCGGGGGAUAACACCUGGAAACAGAUGCUAAUACCGCAUAACAACUUGGACCGCAUGGUCCGAGCUUGAAAGAUGGCUUCGGCUAUCACUUUUGGAUGGUCCCGCGGCGUAUUAGCUAGAUGGUGGGGUAACGGCUCACCAUGGCAAUGAUACGUAGCCGACCUGAGAGGGUAAUCGGCCACAUUGGGACUGAGACACGGCCCAAACUCCUACGGGAGGCAGCAGUAGGGAAUCUUCCACAAUGGACGAAAGUCUGAUGGAGCAACGCCGCGUGAGUGAAGAAGGGUUUCGGCUCGUAAAACUCUGUUGUUAAAGAAGAAUAUAUCUGAGAGUAACUGUUCAGGUAUUGACGGUAUUUAACCAGAAAGCCACGGCUAACUACGUGCCAGCAGCCGCGGUAAUACGUAGGUGGCAAGCGUUGUCCGGAUUUAUUGGGCGUAAAGCGAGCGCAGGCGGUUUUUUAAGUCUGAUGUGAAAGCCUUCGGCUCAACCGAAGAAGUGCAUCGGAAACUGGGAAACUUGAGCGCAGAAGAGGACAGUGGAACUCCAUGUGUAGCGGUGAAAUGCGUAGAUAUAUGGAAGAACACCAGUGGCGAAGGCGGCUGUCUGGUCUGUAACUGACGCUGAGGCUCGAAAGUAUGGGUAGCAAACAGGAUUAGAUGCCCUGGUAGUCCAUACCGUAAACGAUGAAUGCUAAGUGUUGGAG